This 371-nucleotide ribosomal RNA is filed under the name uncultured organism. Its description in RNAcentral is "partial 16S ribosomal RNA". It matches the Rfam family "Bacterial small subunit ribosomal RNA", at positions 527 to 896 of the family's 1533-position model. The record is from RNAcentral.
GUAGGUGGCAAGCGUUGUCCGGAAUUAUUGGGCGUAAAGCGCGCGCAGGCGGUUCUUUAAGUCUGAUGUGAAAGCCCACGGCUCAACCGUGGAGGGUCAUUGGAAACUGGAGAACUUGAGUACAGAAGAGGAAAGCGGAAUUCCACGUGUAGCGGUGAAAUGCGUAGAGAUGUGGAGGAACACCAGUGGCGAAGGCGGCUUUCUGGUCUGUAGCUGACGCUGAGGCGCGAAAGCGUGGGGGAGCAAACAGGAUUAGAUACCCUGGUAGUCCACGCCGUAAACGAUGAGUGCUAAGUGUUAGGGGGUUUCCGCCCCUUAGUGCUGCAGCUAACGCAUUAAGCACUCCGCCUGGGAGUACGGCCGCAAGGCUG